RNAcentral lists this ribosomal RNA (708 nucleotides) under uncultured Bacilli bacterium. Its description in RNAcentral is "bacterial SSU rRNA". It matches the Rfam family "Bacterial small subunit ribosomal RNA", at positions 48 to 731 of the family's 1533-position model. The record is from RNAcentral. Lineage: Bacteria; Bacillati; Bacillota; Bacilli.
CUAAUACAUGCAAGUAGAACGCACAGUUUAUACCGUAGCUUGCUACACCAUAGACUGUGAGUUGCGAACGGGUGAGUAACGCGUAGGUAACCUGCCUGGUAGCGGGGGAUAACUAUUGGAAACGAUAGCUAAUACCGCAUAAUAUUAAUUAUUGCAUGAUAAUUAAUUGAAAGGUGCAAUUGCACCACUACCAGAUGGACCUGCGUUGUAUUAGCUAGUAGGUGAGGUAACGGCUCACCUAGGCGACGAUACAUAGCCGACCUGAGAGGGUGAUCGGCCACACUGGGACUGAGACACGGCCCAGACUCCUACGGGAGGCAGCAGUAGGGAAUCUUCGGCAAUGGACGAAAGUCUGACCGAGCAACGCCGCGUGAGUGAAGAAGGUUUUCGGAUCGUAAAGCUCUGUUGUAAGAGAAGAACGGGUGUGAGAGUGGAAAGUUCACACUGUGACGGUAUCUUACCAGAAAGGGACGGCUAACUACGUGCCAGCAGCCGCGGUAAUACGUAGGUCCCGAGCGUUGUCCGGAUUUAUUGGGCGUAAAGCGAGCGCAGGCGGUUAGAUAAGUCUGAAGUUAAAGGCUGUGGCUUAACCAUAGUACGCUUUGGAAACUGUUUAACUUGAGUGCAGAAGGGGAGAGUGGAAUUCCAUGUGUAGCGGUGAAAUGCGUAGAUAUAUGGAGGAACACCGGUGGCGAAAGCGGCUCUCUG